This 73-nucleotide transfer RNA is filed under the name Prevotellaceae bacterium. RNAcentral's name for it is "tRNA-Gly". It matches the Rfam family "tRNA". Rfam says of the family: Transfer RNA (tRNA) molecules are approximately 80 nucleotides in length. Lineage: Bacteria; Pseudomonadati; Bacteroidota; Bacteroidia; Bacteroidales; Prevotellaceae. The record is from RNAcentral.
GCGAUAGUAGCUCAGUUGGUAGAGCACAAGCUUCCCAAGCUUGGGGUCACGGGUUCGAGCCCCGCCUAUCGCU